UACGUAGGGGGCGAGCGUUAUCCGGAUUCACUGGGUGUAAAGGGAGCGUAGACGGCCGUGCAAGCCAGGGGUGAAAGCCCGGGGCCCAACCCCGGGACUGCCCUUGGAACUGCAUGGCUGGAGUGCGGGAGGGGCAGGCGGAAUUCCUGGUGUAGCGGUGAAAUGCGUAGAUAUCAGGAGGAACACCGGCGGCGAAGGCGGCCUGCUGGACCGCGACUGACGUUGAGGCUCGAAAGCGUGGGGAGCGAACAGG
RNAcentral lists this ribosomal RNA (253 nucleotides) under uncultured bacterium. Its description in RNAcentral is "partial 16S ribosomal RNA". It matches the Rfam family "Bacterial small subunit ribosomal RNA", at positions 524 to 776 of the family's 1533-position model. The record is from RNAcentral.